UUUUUAGCUAUAAAUUUCUUAGUUAAUAAUGAUUUACGCCGCAUUGUGUUUUUUCAACCAACACAAGGUACUUUUCUUUAUCUUUGUUGUGUUUCUUCUUCUGUAUUCAUUGCUUCAUUUUUGUUUCUUAGCAAACCUUUUGCUGUGUAAUUAUAUACUGCUUCGUAUUUGAAUAAAAUUUGUUUCAGUGCUGAUUGUGUCCGUUAUUUUUUCGUUGGUUAUACUUUGAUUUAGUAUUAGGGUAAAUUUGUAGUUGUUGUUUAUUGCCUUUUUUGUCGUUUCAUUUGGUUAAAUUUGCAGAUCUGAAGUGUAAUUGAUAGUAUUUCAAUUUUCGGUGCAUACACCAGACAUUAAUAUGUUCCUCGAGUUCGUCUAUUUUAUGGAGUUUUAUUGAAAUUAAAUUUAAUUGAAGACUCGUGGUUGGAUGUAGCCUUCAUUUGACUUCCUUAAACUUGAUAUUUUUCAUAAUCAGCAUUACAUAGUUUCAUAACUUUUAAAAUUUCGUGCUUGGUUACAUAAGAUGCCACCAAAUUGACUUAUAUAAAAUUGAAGCAAUAGCUGUAGAUAACAACUCAUUCCUUCGAUUUUCUUUCUUUGGUGAUAAUUUGAUCGAAUUUCGGGUGAGUUAUUGGCUCCACAAUUGCAAGAAAUCUAUUUUCAAAUUUUGCAUAUUAUGUGUUUGACAAAAUGUUUGAGAGAACCCUGCGAAUUUUUCUUUACAUUCUUGAGAUUGUCUCUUACUGAUUCUUUUCUUCUUCUUUUUGUUGCAGGGAUUAAAGUAGAAGCUUGAGAUUAGAGCUAAGAUCAGAGCUGCUGCAGAACUUUGAUUUCCCUUCGACUUCUUUUCUUGAAAGAAAUUUGGUAAGGUAUGUUUUCGGCAUUUAUAAGAGCUUUGCCUCUGUAGUCUGCACAUCACUUGCUCGAUGAAUUGUUUUGUCUAUAGGUUCCUUGACUUCCAUUUCAAUCUUAAGAAAGUAGUGAAAGGGCACGGUUUUUAUUUUCUCUAUCAAUUUUCUAAUAUCAAUAUGAGCAUAAAAGAUUCACUUUGUGAUGUGGGAUUGGUGGAAAUAUUCUAAUUUUGUCAGAAAUGUUCCAGUUCUCUUAAGUGCAGCAAUAAGUCCUCCUGUAAUGUCCAUCAUUGGUAUCGCUGUGUUAUAAAAACUCUCAUUACUCCUUGCCUUAUACAACUAUUGUAAGAAUGCUCAAUUAGCUUCCUUUGUGAUCUUUUCCAGUCUCUGUUUAUUUUUUUACACUUCUUUAAUUCUUACAUGUUUCUUUUUGCUUAUCAUGCAUUUAAUAUCUUUGCAGAGCUCAAAUAUGUUUCCCAAAGCAAUUGUUGCAUGAGAAAGUGACAACCAAUAGGUUCUUUAUUUUUAUUUUUAUUUUUUGACAAGAGUGCAAUGUUUUUAAUUUGCCAAAUAUUUUAUUUUUUCUACUAUAUUAUUCCAUCAUUUAAUAUGUGUAGUAUUUAUAUAUAUUCUUUAUUAAGUUUGAGCAUUUAUACAUAUUCUUAAUUACACAUUACACACACACUUAUAUAUAAAUAUAUAUUUGUAUGUAUAUAUUUUGGGGUGAGGGAGGGAGGGGGGGUGGGAUGGUGUGGGGGGGCAUAUUAUAACCUGUGUUACUCGGACACGGCAUUUUGGGCCAAGGUAUCCGUGUCGACACUUAGUAGGACACUGGAUACUUGUCCGACUCGUGACUUUCAUUUUGGACACAAUAUUUUUAGCCUAAGGUUUCUUGUUGUGUUUUAACAGCCACAAUUUGCACUUUUAGCCGCUACUUUUGACUCUUUGACUUCACUAAUUUAAUUAAAAUAACAACUGCUAUGGUAACAGCCGCAAUAUUCAGCCACAAUCUUUAACAACCACCAAUUAGGAGUUUUAAAUUUAUAAGACUUUACAUUUUCUACUAUUAAUUUUAUGAUUUAAAAUUUACUACUAUCAAUUUGGAGUUACUAACUUACUACAGUGGACAGCCGCAAAACUUUUCAAUUUCGAGAGUUACAAACAUAGAAUCAUUAUUUCAAAUUUAAUUUAUAUAUUUAUUAAUUUUUAACUUGUCACUAAUCCUCACUUGUAUAUAUAUAUACUUUUUGAAAUCAUAUUUUUUUCACUAUCUUUUGUGUUCUUAAUUUGCCUACUGUUAUAAUCUUUCUCUCACUAUUUCACCACCUAUACAAAAUAUGACAACUCGUCCUACAAAAAAUAGAGGGUUCGAUGAAACACCAUUGUGGAACCAUGUUGAAGUUCUAUCAACAAUCGGGGGAGGGGGAAAUAGGGUGUGGAGAUGCAAGUAUUGUAAUAAAAUCGUGACGAGUUCAUAUUCAAAAGUCAGGGCACAUUUGCUGAAAAUUUCAAACCAAGGCGUUCAAGGCUGCAAGUCAAUAUCGGAAGAAAUUCAUCGCCAACUCAAAGCUCAAAAUGACGAGGCGGAGUUGAGAAAAAAAAUGUAGCUUCGAGUGCAAAAUAAAAAGAAGAUUACAUUUCUCUUCCACAAGGUUCAGAUUAAGUUCAACCAAAGAAGAUAAAUGGGCCAUUGGAGAUGUCAUUCAAUGUAGUAGAGCGAUAAGAGGCUGACAAAGAAUGUGCAAUGAUGUUCUACACCGGUAUGUUAUAAUUUAAUCUUGCACGA
This 2634-nucleotide long non-coding RNA is filed under the name Salvia miltiorrhiza (redroot sage). RNAcentral describes it as "long non-coding RNA (SMIL_LNC006065)". The record is from RNAcentral. Lineage: Eukaryota; Viridiplantae; Streptophyta; Magnoliopsida; Lamiales; Lamiaceae.